UGGGCAGUGAGUGCUGGGCUCUACCGGCCCCAGCUCCGGGAAGCCUGGGGAAGGGAAAAGGGAGAAGUCUGACCUGGGGCCCCGGGACAGAAAAGCAGUGGUCCAGGGGUGCCCAGAACCACAAGAGCACACCUCGGAGACCAUUUGACUCCUCUGCUGGUGACUUACAAACCCACAUGGAGCUGACACUUGGAUGCCUGUGUCCUGGGGAGUCCAGGCUGGAAGCUCUUACCCACCACUGUACAGAGAGCUAAGUGAGUGAAGACUGUGGGCGAGGACACAUCCUGGCUCUGUCCACCAGGAAGAGCAAGAAGCAGUGACACCUCCAGGAACAAGAACACCUGCAGCACCUAGAUCUUGGUCUCUAAAUACCACUUUACAACAAACAUAAAUGGGGAUCCUUGGAGACAUGGCUCACUCUGGGACUGGAGUGGUAAACAUACAAGAUGAGCCAGAAGCAGCUUGUAAUGCCAGACAGUGAAGAAGUGCACAGAAGUCAGCAUGACAGGGGCAAGGGACCCAGAAACCAACCUGACCUGGCCCUGGCCAAGGCUGGAAUGUUUGAGUAACAAAGUAUAUACCAGCUGUCGCUCUCCUACUGAUUAAAGUGACUAGAAGAACCCCUCUAGGAAACGGCAGCCCACUCCGGUAUUCUUGCCUGGGAAAUCCCAUGGACAGAGUCUGAGCCUGGAGGGCUACAGUCCAUGGGGUUGCAAAGAGUCAGACAUGAGUGACUAAGCACAGAAGAGCACUUCUCCUCUAUGGGGUUUUUCCCCCAAAGCCAUAAACCCAGUCUCACUCCAAGAAAAACAUCAGACAAAUGCAAACUGAGGGACAUUCUACACAAUCCCUGGCCACCACCCCUCACAAUGGUCAAGGUCAAGGGAAACAAGGAAAGUCUGGGAACCUGUCCCAGUCGAGAGAA
Molecule: long non-coding RNA, 925 nt
Organism: Cervus elaphus (red deer)
Lineage: Eukaryota; Metazoa; Chordata; Mammalia; Artiodactyla; Cervidae
Exons: 3
Source: RefSeq, a predicted model, not a curated record